CAAUACCUAGCAUGUUUCAAUAUCAUUGUAUUUUAAAAUGAGGCUGCAUUGUCUAGCAGUUAAUUCUUAUGUGUCCAACUAAAAUUAUAUGUUCAUGUUUUUAUAUAUGCUAUGCUCAGCUUUGUAUGUACACUCCUGUUAUAACUCCUUUUGUCUGUAUUGCAUCUUGAAGUUGCCUCAAUAAAAAGAGAUUCGCAGAAAAGAAAACAAAAUUUCCACACAAAAGUAUAUAUUUCUAGAAAGUAGACCUCACGGGCUAUUUACCUAAGGGUUUUUUGAAACUUUUUUGUAGCAAUGUAACUUCUCAUCUAAAUAUUGUAGUAAAAUUGUCUUUUCUUCUGAUUUUUAA
This is a non-coding RNA of Pelobates cultripes (western spadefoot toad), 349 nucleotides long. Lineage: Eukaryota; Metazoa; Chordata; Amphibia; Anura; Pelobatidae. The record is from the annotation of a GenBank genome assembly.